AUUGAACGCUGGCGGAAUGCUUUACACAUGCAAGUCGAACGGCAGCACGGGGGCAACCCUGGUGGCGAGUGGCGAACGGGUGAGUAAUACAUCGGAACGUGCCCAGUCGUGGGGGAUAACGUAGCGAAAGUUACGCUAAUACCGCAUACGAUCUACGGAUGAAAGCGGGGGACCGGAAGGCCUCGCGCGAUUGGAGCGGCCGAUGUCAGAUGAGGUAGUUGGCGAGGUAAAGGCUCACCAAGCCGACGAUCUGUAGCUGGUCUGAGAGGACGACCAGCCACACUGGGACUGAGACACGGCCCAGACUCCUACGGGAGGAAGCAGUGGGGAAUUUUGGACAAUGGGCGCAAGCCUGAUCCAGCCAUUCCGCGUGCAGGACGAAGGCCUUCGGGUUGUAAACUGCUUUUGUACGGAACGAAAAGGCUCUGGUUAAUACCUGGGGCUCAUGACGGUACCGUAAGAAUAAGCACCGGCUAACUACGUGCCAGCCGCCGCGGUAA
Molecule: ribosomal RNA, 500 nt
Filed under: uncultured bacterium
Lineage: Bacteria
Description: partial 16S ribosomal RNA
Rfam family: Bacterial small subunit ribosomal RNA
Source: RNAcentral